Molecule: non-coding RNA, 74 nt
Organism: Thermochaetoides thermophila DSM 1495
Lineage: Eukaryota; Fungi; Ascomycota; Sordariomycetes; Sordariales; Chaetomiaceae
Source: the annotation of a RefSeq genome assembly
GGUCCGAUGGUGUAGUUGGUUAUCACGUCAGUCUAACACACUGAAGGUCCCCAGUUCGAACCUGGGUCGGAUCA